UUGAAGAGGACUUGGAACU
This 19-nucleotide small RNA is filed under the name Arabidopsis thaliana (thale cress). Its description in RNAcentral is "AGO1_3390". The record is from RNAcentral. Lineage: Eukaryota; Viridiplantae; Streptophyta; Magnoliopsida; Brassicales; Brassicaceae.